ACGGAGGGGGCUAGCGUUGUUCGGAAUUACUGGGCGUAAAGCGCACGUAGGCGGCUUUGUAAGUUAGAGGUGAAAGCCCGGGGCUCAACUCCGGAAUUGCCUUUAAGACUGCAUCGCUAGAAUUGUGGAGAGGUAAGUGGAAUUCCGAGUGUAGAGGUGAAAUUCGUAGAGAUGCGGAGGAACACCGAUGGCGAAGGCAGCCCCCUGGGCUGACACUGACGCUCAGGCACGAAAGCGUGGGGAGCAAACAGGA
This 253-nucleotide ribosomal RNA is filed under the name uncultured prokaryote. RNAcentral describes it as "partial 16S ribosomal RNA". It matches the Rfam family "Bacterial small subunit ribosomal RNA", at positions 525 to 777 of the family's 1533-position model. The record is from RNAcentral.